CGCAGACGGCAGCAAUCGUGGUGUUUUCGGAAAAGCGACGGUGGCGCCAGCCCGACGUACUUAACUGACGGAGGGUUGCAAAUCAAAGAACCAAUUAAUACACAUGAUUGUGAAUCAUCAAGGGAAUUAAGGACUUCACCAAGUCCGGGCUGAGUGUCGGCGAAAAAAGUGCGUUUUGGCUGUAUGAAAAAGUCAGUUCGUGGAGUAAACGCUGGUUCACCCACAUAUUCCUGGUAGUUGUG
Molecule: long non-coding RNA, 242 nt
Organism: Diachasmimorpha longicaudata
Lineage: Eukaryota; Metazoa; Arthropoda; Insecta; Hymenoptera; Braconidae
Exons: 3
Source: RefSeq, a predicted model, not a curated record